UGGUACCUACGGGGCGCAGCAGUGGGGAAUAUUGCACAAUGGGGGAAACCCUGAUGCAGCGACGCCGCGUGAGCGAAGAAGUAUUUCGGUAUGUAAAGCUCUAUCAGCAGGGAAGAAAAAUGACGGUACCUGAGUAAGAAGCCCCGGCUAACUACGUGCCAGCAGCCGCGGUAAUACGUAGGGGGCAAGCGUUAUCCGGAAUUACUGGGUGUAAAGGGAGCGUAGACGGUUAAGUAAGUCUGGAGUGAAAGGCCGGGGCCCAACCCCGGG
Molecule: ribosomal RNA, 270 nt
Filed under: uncultured bacterium
Lineage: Bacteria
Description: partial 16S ribosomal RNA
Rfam family: Bacterial small subunit ribosomal RNA
Source: RNAcentral